RNAcentral lists this ribosomal RNA (330 nucleotides) under uncultured bacterium. Its description in RNAcentral is "bacterial SSU rRNA". It matches the Rfam family "Bacterial small subunit ribosomal RNA", at positions 568 to 898 of the family's 1533-position model. RNAcentral also lists the same sequence under 1 other name. The record is from RNAcentral.
CGCGUAGGCGGACAGUUAAGUCGGGGGUGAAAGCCCGGGGCUCAACCUCGGAAUUGCCUUCGAUACUGGCUGUCUUGAGUACGGGAGAGGUGUGUGGAACUCCGAGUGUAGAGGUGAAAUUCGUAGAUAUUCGGAAGAACACCAGUGGCGAAGGCGACACACUGGCCCGUUACUGACGCUGAGGCGCGAAAGCGUGGGGAGCAAACAGGAUUAGAUACCCUGGUAGUCCACGCUGUAAACGAUGAGUGCUAGUUGUCGGCAUGCAUGCAUGUCGGUGACGCAGCUAACGCAUUAAGCACUCCGCCUGGGGAGUACGGUCGCAAGAUUAAA